Molecule: long non-coding RNA, 2091 nt
Organism: Macrobrachium nipponense
Lineage: Eukaryota; Metazoa; Arthropoda; Malacostraca; Decapoda; Palaemonidae
Exons: 6
Source: RefSeq, a predicted model, not a curated record
UAGGAGGCGGGGGCGGGGGGGAAAUCCUGCCAAAUGUGGCAGCGGGCAAAAUUAUAUCCAUCGCCUCGCCAUGUUCAAAGCAUCAGGCAGCAGCCCCGUGAGGUGGAGGGGGGGAGGAGAAGGAGGGCGUUAGCCUUCAUUGUCAUCAUAGAGACUCGUCAUUACGAGGCGUUAUAUCUUAUAAACUUUUGGUUUUAAUUGCUGUGGUCGUUUAUUUAGUUUCCCUAGGGACGUCGUGGUGGGGAAAGUGUGUCCUCGAAUAACGAUUUAUGGGGGUGGGGGGUUUACAAGAGGCCGCCGUCUUCCAAGACGUCUUCUGGGCGAUGCAAAUGACACGCUCAAAAGCAUGGCCGCUAACACAACAACACUUGAAGAGGGCAAAUGAUUGUGAAAAAGAGCAGACUGCUGCUGCUGGAUGGGAGCGCUGUACAGUGACGUCACCACCGUCGCUCGCCGUCCUGUGUGAGUGUGUGUGAGCGAGAGAGAGAGAGAGAGAAAGAGAAAGAGCGAGCUCAAGUCCAAACAGUUUUCUCGUCGGCCAGCAGGUACCUCCCAUAUCUUCCUCGAUUUCCUAUCCUAAAAAGCAUUUUGCUGUGCUAACAGGCCGUGUCAGGCCGAUCCCGGCGGGCAGGUCGAAAGGGCGCGUCCAUGCAAGGUAGGUGACAUCCGCCAAAUGCACGGCGAUCGUGGGAGAAGGACAUAAAUUAGUGAUGUGUGUGUGUUGGGCGACUACUGUUAAGCCUAAGCGGCAGACAUACUCCGUGGCCGCCCCGACAACACCAAGUCUUUGCCUUGCCGGGGGAGUCAAGGUGCACACGAAGGAGGAGGAGGAGGAGCAGGACCACCCCACCUCCCUCCCUCCAACGACCCCUUCGUAGACAGGCUCGAUCUCCUUCCCCUGAAUUUACCGCCAAAAACCUUUCCUUCGAAGUCGCUCCGAAGUCGUUCGUUCCCUGACCAUCCGCAAGUGCAUAUGUAAAGGAGGAGGAGGAACCCACAUGCACCUGUAAUUACGUCGAGGGGGGAAGGGGAGGGGGAGCAGGUCCAGGACCUGGGCGACCCGCUUUUCAUCUGAUCUUGAAUUAUUAUUGACUGGCUCCUCUCCUCCGGGUGGUGGCUGGCUGGUGGUGUGGCAUCAGCAGCAGCAGCAGCAAAGCAUCGGCAGCAGGCGGAGGACUGUUGUGGUGUGUGCAGGAAAGUCCUAUAUAUAGGCUGCAAGUGCCCUUCGGAAGAAGACACCGCCGAAUAUAUAGUUUCAAAUCCCCUUCGUAACUUUAAAAGGGACCUCCUUCGUAACUUGGACGGUUCUUAUUUUCGCGUCUGGUCUCGUGAACUACACACGUGCUGCUGCUGUGUCGGCCUUGACACUGAACUGUAGAAGUGGGAGUAUUUUAGCGAGUGCUUAAAUUUCGCAGGGCGACUUUGCCGGUCCCCCUUCCGAGGCCUUUUUGGAGUACUAGUCGGGUCCUCUGGGUGUCCGAAAUUGUUAUAAAGGCCCGAGUGAACAGGCUCGACGUCUGGGCUAACCGAAGUGGUUUGUGAAAGGGCUGUCAAAAAGGUGAUAUAUAUUUAUAUAUGUAAUAGUGCGUCAAACGUAUUUUUUCUCUCCCGUUCGAUUCUGUGUUGUGUUGGGGAGAGAGAGUGUGUGUAUGUGUUUGAGUGUGUGUGGAAUUCCAUUGAUGAACUUAUGUUCAGAACACACUGACUUUUACAAGGAAAGAAAAGACAACGGUAACUGACCCAAGGAGGAAUAUUUUUGAGUACCCAGAAGCCUCUCGUGCAACCUGAAGAAGUAUAUUUGGGUGAAACACUGAAAUCCACCGGAAACAGCAGCGGGAACAGCAGAAAUAGGAACAGCAGGCAUUUUAUAUACGCGCGCACCGGAGGAAACAGCAGCUGUUGAGAUUCUACAGUUGACCGCGCAGGUAUUGCAAAUUGAAGGUACUCUCGUCAGUAUCGCGCUACUGAAGGAGUGAGUUUUUGUGGAACAAAAAUGGCCGGGAAUAAAAAUACCUGUGUUUGUGUACACCCAGGCAGCAAUGUUCACAAAGAGGAACACAGUUUCCACUAGUCUACUGAAGUCAGCACAAG